UGGGGAAUAUUGCACAAUGGGCGAAAGCCUGAUGCAGCGACGCCGCGUGAGGGAUGACGGCCUUCGGGUUGUAAACCUCUUUCAGCAGGGACGAAGCGAAAGUGACGGUACCUGCAGAAGAAGCACCGGCCAACUACGUGCCAGCAGCCGCGGUAAUACGUAGGGUGCAAGCGUUGUCCGGAAUUAUUGGGCGUAAAGAGCUCGUAGGCGGCUUGUCGCGUCGGCUGUGAAAACCUGGGGCUCAACCCCGGGCUUGCAGCCGAUACGGGCAAGCUAGAAUUCGGUAGGGGAGACUGGAAUUCCUGGUGUAGCGGUGAAAUGCGCAGAUAUCAGGAGGAACACCGGUGGCGAAGGCGGGUCUCUGGGCCGAUAUUGACGCUGAGGAGCGAAAGCGUGGGGAGCGAACAGGAUUAGAUACCCCGGUAGUCC
RNAcentral lists this ribosomal RNA (429 nucleotides) under uncultured bacterium. RNAcentral's name for it is "bacterial SSU rRNA". It matches the Rfam family "Bacterial small subunit ribosomal RNA", at positions 355 to 796 of the family's 1533-position model. The record is from RNAcentral.